RNAcentral lists this ribosomal RNA (253 nucleotides) under uncultured bacterium. RNAcentral's name for it is "partial 16S ribosomal RNA". It matches the Rfam family "Bacterial small subunit ribosomal RNA", at positions 524 to 776 of the family's 1533-position model. The record is from RNAcentral.
UACAGAGGGUGCAAGCGUUGUUCGGAAUUAUUGGGCGUAAAGCGCGUGUAGGCGGCUUUGCAAGUUGGGUGUGAAAGCCCUCAGCUCAACUGAGGAAGUGCGCCCGAAACUGCAGAGCUUGAGUGCCGGAGAGGGUGGCGGAAUUCCCCAAGUAGAGGUGAAAUUCGUAGAUAUGGGGAGGAACACCGGUGGCGAAGGCGGCCAUCUGGACGGAUACUGACGCUGAGACGCGAAAGCGUGGGUAGCAAACAGG